RNAcentral lists this ribosomal RNA (331 nucleotides) under Blastocystis sp. subtype 15. RNAcentral describes it as "SSU rRNA". It matches the Rfam family "Eukaryotic small subunit ribosomal RNA", at positions 42 to 348 of the family's 1831-position model. The record is from RNAcentral. Lineage: Eukaryota; Bigyra; Opalinata; Blastocystidae.
GAUUAAGCCAUGCAUGUGUAAGUAUAAAUAAUUAUAUAGUGAAACUGCGAAUGGCUCAUUAUAUCAGUUAUAGUUUAUUUGAUAAUUAAUUUGAAAUUUCUUUAUUGAAAUUUUAAUACUAAUUGGAUAACCGUAGUAAUUCUAGAGCUAAUACAUGAAUUAAAAUCCUAACCUUUAUUGGAAAGGAUGUAUUUAUUAGAUGAUAAAACCAAUAUAAUUAAUAAGGUGAAUCAUAAUAAUUAAUCGAAUCGUAUGGUUGUAAAAUACUAACGAUAAAUCAUUCAAGUUUCUGCCCUAUCAGCUUUCGAUGGUAGUGUAUUGGACUACCAUG